Molecule: ribosomal RNA, 532 nt
Filed under: uncultured bacterium
Lineage: Bacteria
Description: bacterial SSU rRNA
Rfam family: Bacterial small subunit ribosomal RNA
Source: RNAcentral
UCUUGACAUCCAGAGAACUUGGCAGAGAUGCCUUGGUGCCUUCGGGAACUCUGAGACAGGUGCUGCAUGGCUGUCGUCAGCUCGUGUUGUGAAAUGUUGGGUUAAGUCCCCGCAACGAGCGCAACCCCUAUCCUUUGUUGCCAGCGAUUCGGUCGGGAACUCAAAGGAGACUGCCGGUGAUAAACCGGAGGAAGGUGGGGAUGACGUCAAGUCAUCAUGGCCCUUACGAGUAGGGCUACACACGUGCUACAAUGGCGUAUACAAAGAGAAGCGACCUCGCGAGAGCAAGCGGACCUCAUAAAGUACGUCGUAGUCCGGAUUGGAGUCUGCAACUCGACUCCAUGAAGUCGGAAUCGCUAGUAAUCGUAGAUCAGAAUGCUACGGUCGAAUACGUUCCCGGGCCUUGUACACACCGCCCGUCACACCAUGGGAGUGGGUUGCAAAAGAAGUAGAUAGCUUAACCUUCGGGAGGGCGUUUACCACUUUGUGAUUCAUGACUGGGGUGAAGUCGUAACAAGGUAAGCGUACGUGU